UCAGAUCUGACAGGAGCCUGGAAAAACAAUUUUUUGCUUGUGAACUGUGAAGAAACCUGGAGCUCACAUCAAACAAUGUCCUUAAACGCAGUCUGACGUGUCAUCCACGGGUCAGUGGCCAGCAAUCUCACCUCUGGGUCAGAAGUCUUUGGCUCAAGUCCCACGGCAAAGACUUGAGCACGAGAUACAGGCUGAUACUUCAGUGCAACAUGGAGGAAGAGCUGUGUUACCUCAUGGUCUGUCUAGGUAGACAAUGGAUGCGCCCGUUCCGGGGCGCAGACCUGGGCAAUAAAUAUGGAGAUCCUGGGCUGCCCAGACAUCAAGAUCCCCCUCUCGGUCUCGCGGAUGUGGUCCAAAGGAAUGUGAAGCAGUACAUUCGGCAUCAGCUUGGCUGCAGGAGCUGCCGGGAUGUGACGUGUAAAUAUAGUGCUGCAUGAAGCAUUCAAAGUGUUAACAUGGAUGACCGAACAAUCCUCUUCCUCUCUGGUCAGUUGACUGUCUGGUGGUUGCAGUCAAGAGAAUAACUGGAGGAGAAAAAGCACAGUGGAAAUUUCACAGAAGAGAAAAUCUGCUCAGGAUUGCGUGAAAGAAAAUAACAAUUGCCCAAAACAAUUGAGGGAAAUACUGAAUUAGUCAUUAAACACUGCAGAGCUUUUAUUUUUGUGGUUUCUGAAAAAAAACAUCUGUUGGAUUUUGGAUCCUUAUGUACUUCAUCUUAAAAGCAUCAGCAUUAAAAUUAAGCAUUAAAUAAUCCAGUCUUCUAAUGAGAACCUGUUCAGUCGAGGGCCACUGUCAGUCAAAAGGAUGGAUCUCUUCCUAAGCUGUUUCGGUAAAGAUCUGCAGUAAGAACUUUACCACACGCAAGGAAGCUGUACAGGAAGUACAUGCGGCAUGUUUUAGAAAAUGAUUUACAAUGUAUUGCACGCAGAGUGGGUAAUAAAAAACUAUCCAAUAUCCUUGAUGCAAGUUCUCAGACAGGUUGUAAUCCACUGUCACUGUCCUGCUUGUACCCUACAAAAGAAAGAGAAAAAUCCAGGCAAAACUACAAAGCCCAAAGUGAAAAUUGGGCAAUCUAAAACCCAAACCCCAUCCCCUUCC
Mobula hypostoma (lesser devil ray) is the source of this 1098-nucleotide long non-coding RNA. RefSeq lists it as uncharacterized. The record is from RefSeq and is a predicted model, not a curated record. NCBI's taxonomy places the organism in Eukaryota, Metazoa, Chordata, Chondrichthyes, Myliobatiformes, Myliobatidae. The transcript has 3 exons.